CAGUAGCCGCGGUAAUACGUAUGUCCCGAGCGUUAUCCGGAUUUAUUGGGCGUAAAGCGAGCGCAGACGGUUUAUUAAGUCUGAUGUGAAAGCCCGGAGCUCAACUCCGGAAUGGCAUUGGAAACUGGUUAACUUGAGUGCAGUAGAGGUAAGUGGAACUCCAUGUGUAGCGGUGGAAUGCGUAGAUAUAUGGAAGAACACCAGUGGCGAAGGCGGCUUACUGGACUGCAACUGACGUUGAGGCUCGAAAGUGUGGGUAGCAAACAGGAUUAGAUACCCCUGUAGUCCCUGUCUCUUAUAC
Molecule: ribosomal RNA, 301 nt
Filed under: uncultured bacterium
Lineage: Bacteria
Description: partial 16S ribosomal RNA
Rfam family: Bacterial small subunit ribosomal RNA
Source: RNAcentral